UAUUAUUUCACUAAAAUAAGCUAUAAACUUACACUAGAAGAACCAUUUAUAUCAAACAAAUUGAUAUAUAGAUUAUUACCAAAAUCAAAACAUUGAAAGGUUCGAAUAGUCCAAUCAAAAUAGACUAUAUUCCAAUUAAAUUUCUAGUUUUAUCUAAAAUAAAAUAUAUUAGUAACUUUGGUCAAAUCAUAUGCAUAUGAACUCGGUUUCUUCUUCUUCUUCUAUUUAUUUUUUUUUUUUUUUUUUUUUUUUUUUUUUUUUUUUUUUUUUUUUUUUUUUUUUUUUAAAAGAGAUAGGUAAUAUAUAUGCUACCCGUUUUGUUUAUUUCAUUUAGAAAUAAACUUGACUGAAAAUGUAAAUCAACUAGAAUUCGAAUUUGGUAUCUCAGAUACCAACUAUCAAAUCCUUUGCCACUUGCUUUAGGAACAAUAUAUGAACUCGGUCAUUAACUCUAGACUUGUUAUGAAUUUCAAAUAUCUCAAUUGAGUCAGCGUAGUUUGACCUGGUUUGACUCGAAAUCUGAGGCAACCGCUUUUUUUGUACCAAAUUUGAUUGAAAUCUAGUUGAGUCAAGUGGACUACGCUGAAUUUCAAAUCGGCUCGCCUAGUUUCAGUGUGAUGGUUAAAUCGAAAGUAAGAGAAAACCAUUAAACAUAAAAUUGACCUCAAAAAAUCAAUUCUCAGCUCAGAAACCAUGUUUUAUUAAGACCAUUAUUACAACGGAAGCCCAUAUUUUGUAAGGAAAAUUUUAAAAUAAUAUAUUUUGUUUAUUGUUUUUAGUGAAUGGAUGUGAUUCUUCGUGAAAGAAUGCAAUCCUUAGUGAAUGGAUGCAACUCUUAGUGAAUGGAUGCAACCCUUAGUGAGUGGAUCCAACUCUAAUCAAAGGGUAUGACUCUUAGAGUGAAAAGAUGUGACUUUUAGUGAAAGAAUAUGAUAUGAAAAGACACAUCUUUAUAGUGUGUCUUUUUGUACAUAUGCCCGUUGGAAUCAAUGGUUAUAUUCAUUGAACUUGAUUCAUAUAACUAUUUGGUAGUUAUGAUCAAAUGAAAAGUCACAAUCGAAAGGUCACUUCACGAAACACCCUUUCGUGAAUAGUUACUUCAUNAAGUGCAUUGCAAUGGAGUCCGCGAGAGCAAAUAGUGCAAGAAUUUGCACUUGGCAAAUUUGCUCUCGGGGACCGGUCCCUGGAGGGAGUGACCGGUUCCCGAACGUUGUCUACGCGAGCUUGCUCUCGGGGACCGGUCCCAGGAGGGAGGGACCGGUUGCCCCGAGGCUGAGGGCUGUGGCAAGCGCGAGGCAACCGGUCCCUGGGCCAGAGGGACCGGUUCCCGAACACGUGAGAUUGAGGAGGUCCCUCUGGGACCGGUCCUAGGCAGGGAGAGACCGGUCCCCGAGCCUGAAACUUG
RNAcentral lists this long non-coding RNA (1405 nucleotides) under Ananas comosus (pineapple). RNAcentral describes it as "long non-coding RNA (ACOM_LNC019619)". Lineage: Eukaryota; Viridiplantae; Streptophyta; Magnoliopsida; Poales; Bromeliaceae. The record is from RNAcentral.